UACGUAGGUGGCAAGCGUUGUCCGGAUUUAUUGGGCGUAAAGCGAGCGCAGGCGGUUUCUUAAGUCUGAUGUGAAAGCCCCCGGCUCAACCGGGGAGGGUCAUUGGAAACUGGGAAACUUGAGUGCAGAAGAGGAGAGUGGAAUUCCAUGUGUAGCGGUGAAAUGCGUAGAUAUAUGGAGGAACACCAGUGGCGAAGGCGGCUCUCUGGUCUGUAACUGACGCUGAGGCUCGAAAGCGUGGGGAGCAAACAGGAUUAGAUACCCUGGUAGUCCACGCCGUAAACGAUGAGUGCUAAGUGUUGGAGGGUUUCCGCCCUUCAGUGCUGCAGCUAACGCAUUAAGCACUCCGCCUGGGGAGUACGACCGCAAGGUUGAA
Molecule: ribosomal RNA, 376 nt
Filed under: uncultured bacterium
Lineage: Bacteria
Description: bacterial SSU rRNA
Rfam family: Bacterial small subunit ribosomal RNA
Source: RNAcentral